AUGUACUUUGCAGCAUGUAUAUACCAAAACUGGAAUGAUACAAAGAAAAUUAGCAUAACCCCUCUGCAAGGAUGCCAUGCAAAUCUGUGAAGAAUUCCAUGUUGUU
Small nuclear RNA from Heterocephalus glaber (naked mole-rat), 106 nucleotides. The record is from Ensembl. NCBI's taxonomy places the organism in Eukaryota, Metazoa, Chordata, Mammalia, Rodentia, Bathyergidae.